GUCAGAGUAGGAUUUGGCGCGUUAAGUGUCGCAGGAUGGGAGUUGUCUGCGAACGAAAGGAAUUUAUUCCUGCGGUGCCAAUUCCGCAUCCGCUGCC
Molecule: regulatory RNA element, 97 nt
Organism: Eubacterium infirmum F0142
Lineage: Bacteria; Bacillati; Bacillota; Clostridia; Peptostreptococcales; Anaerovoracaceae
Rfam family: THF (Tetrahydrofolate) riboswitch aptamer
About the family: THF riboswitch presents a pseudoknot that joins P1-P2 and the loop of P3 and two THF binding.
Source: Rfam